UAACAAGGAUUCCCCUAGUAACUGCGAGUGAAGCGGGAAAAGCUCAAAUUUAAAAUCUGGCAGUCUUUGGCUGUCCGAGUUGUAAUCUGGAGAAGCGUUUUCCGCGCUGGACCGUGUACAAGUCUCUUGGAACAGAGCGUCAUAGAGGGUGAGAAUCCCGUCUUUGACACGGACUACCAGUGCUUUGUGAUGCGCUCUCAAAGAGUCGAGUUGUUUGGGAAUGCAGCUCAAAAUGGGUGGUAAAUUCCAUCUAAAGCUAAAUAUUGGCGAGAGACCGAUAGCGAACAAGUACCGUGAGGGAAAGAUGAAAAGCACUUUGGAAAGAGAGUUAAACAGUACGUGAAAUUGCUGAAAGGGAAACGCUUGAAGUCAGUCGCGUCUGCUAGUACUCAGCCUGUCUUCUUGACUGGUGCAUUUACUUGUGGACGGGCCAGCAUCAGUUUUGGCUGCGGGAUAAAGAUUAGAGGAAUGUGGCAUCUUAGGGUGUGUUAUAGCCUUUGAUCAUAUACCGCGGCUGGGACUGAGGAUCUCAGCACGCCUUUAUGGCGGGGGUUCGCCCACCUUCGUGCUUAGGAUGCUGGCGUAAUGGCUUUAAACGACCCGUCUUGAAACA
This 613-nucleotide ribosomal RNA is filed under the name Rhizochaete radicata. RNAcentral's name for it is "eukaryotic LSU rRNA". It matches the Rfam family "Eukaryotic large subunit ribosomal RNA", at positions 66 to 661 of the family's 3401-position model. The record is from RNAcentral. Lineage: Eukaryota; Fungi; Basidiomycota; Agaricomycetes; Polyporales; Phanerochaetaceae.